GAAGCGAUGCCACCAAGAGAACACCCUUGUGCUAUUUUAGGAUGUAAGGCUCAGCACAAGGGCCUUCACCGUCUUCCUGCAAAUGAGCAACAGAGGCUUAAGUGGCUGAGUUUUAUCUUUGAAGACAAGGUGCCUGAAAAUGUACCAAAACUGUUGUAUGUUUGCGCUAACCACUUUAGCGUAGACUGCCUCGAGAACGCGGGACAAUACAACUGCGGAUUCGCGAGUAAAUUGUUUUUGAAAACUGGAUCAGUUCCUACAACACGUGAUCCUGCCUCACUUCAAGCCACGACGUCGACAAAGAGCAACAAGGUGGAUGUUUGUUGCCAGACAGAACCAUUUCACACAUCUUUACACAGUGUUGGUACCCAGUUGUCUUUUAGGACGCUUCAGGCUAAACGCAGGAGUACAAGUGUCCAGACAACAGUAUCCAGUUUUGAACUGACUGUACCAUCAGCGUCCUCUACUGCGUUUAUGACUUCGACACCCCUCAAACCUUCACUAAAAAGACCUCGUCUGGAGCUGGAGGAGGAGGAGGAGGAGGAGGAGGAGGAAGAAGAAGAAGCCGAAGAGACUUUGACAGAGUCAAAAAUUAUAGCCCAAGACUCGGAUGUGAGAUUUGACCCUGCAGAGGAAUGCACAUCUGCAACUGAACCAACAGACUUGUCAAUCCAAGAAUGCCCAGUUCAUAACAUUGCCAAGUUCAUUGUCUAUGAAACAUGCCUCAUGGAGCUCUUCAGUGACUGCCCAGUGUGUCAGAGGAGAUGUGAUGUAAAGUCACAAAGGCUUGGGACAUUUCUGAGCGUACAGCAAGUCUGCCCACACUGCGAGUUUGUAAGAAAAUGGAACAGUCAGCCAAUUAUUGGUAGUACUCCAGCUGGCAACCUGCAUCUUUCUGCUGCUGUCUACUUGAGUGGUGCAUAAUUUUUUGUAGUUGAAAAGGUAUUUGCUGCCAUGAAACUACACAUUUUUAAAUAUGAUUCAUUUCGUCGUCAUGCAAGACUUUGCAUUGAACCUGCUAUUGUCCACAAGUGGAGAAAUUGGCAGAGUGAAAUGCUAGAACAGCUCAGUCGAAGAGAGAAUAUGAUUGUUGGAGGAGAUAAGAGGGCUGACUCCCAGGUCACUCGGCCAAGUAUGGGAGUUAUACAAUGAUGGACCUUGCAACUAACACAGUGGUCGACCUACAGUUAGUCCAGAGUAAUGAGGUGGGCGGCAGUUACCAUAUGGAAAAAGAAGGCCUAAAGAGAAGCCUUGACCUGUUGGAUGCCCGCGGUGUUCGUCUGGAAUGCAUCAUCACAGACCGACAUCCUCAAAUACAGAAAUAUCUCAGGGAUCGAAAUGUCACUCAGUUUUACGAUGUGUGGCAUAUCGAGAAAGGAAUUUCCAAAAAAACUGGACCAGAUAUGCCAGAUAAAGGGGUGUGAGAAGUUGCGUAAAUGGUUGCGUAGCAUCAAAAACCACAUCUACUGGACUGCUGCAUCAUCCACAACAGGUCCUGAAAGAGUGGCAAAGUGGACCUCUAUCAUAAACCAUGUACAUGAAGACCCCAAUUUUCCGGCUUAUCUGCAUCCGCAACGGAUAAGCAGAGACGAGAACAAAUGGCUGUCGGCUGCAACGAUGCCAUUCUACAAGCUGGAGAAAGUUCUCGCUAACAAGAGAAUAUUGAAGGAUGUGGCCAAGCUAAGUCCUCACCACCAGACGUCAACUGUUGAAGCUUUCCACAGCGUCCUACUGCGGUUUGCACCCAAAAAUGUGGUAUUCCCAUUUCUGGGGAUGCUAUGCAGGUUGUACUUGGCUGCACUGCAUUACAAUGAAAAUGCCGGGCGUCCCCAGGCCACAUCAGCAACUGGUAAACCUAUUUACAAGCUUGCCUUUCCAAAGGCAAAGAAAGGAGAGUAUAGGGUCCGAAAAGUGAAGACGCAGCAAACUUUCGGUUAUGUAGAAGAGCUGCUGGACCUCAUCUUCAACCAAGUGUUUGUGGACCCAUCACCCUAUGUUGAUGAAGUGUUGGGAAUUCACAUACCACCUGCUCUAUCAUCAGCCUGCGAUCGACCUGAGAUGGAGGAGGCUAUCUCCAGCAGGGUGACCCGCUUCAAUCAAUAGCUAUCCUAAAACCCACAUAGCUGCCCUGCUCUUCAGGAAACUG
Non-coding RNA from Danio rerio (zebrafish), 2146 nucleotides. Lineage: Eukaryota; Metazoa; Chordata; Actinopteri; Cypriniformes; Danionidae. The record is from Ensembl.